RNAcentral lists this ribosomal RNA (229 nucleotides) under Paenibacillus montanisoli. RNAcentral's name for it is "partial 23S ribosomal RNA". It matches the Rfam family "Bacterial large subunit ribosomal RNA", at positions 2690 to 2925 of the family's 2925-position model. The record is from RNAcentral. Lineage: Bacteria; Bacillati; Bacillota; Bacilli; Caryophanales; Paenibacillaceae.
GACCGGGAUGGACGCACCGCUGGUGUACCAGUUGUUCCGCCAGGAGCACCGCUGGGUAGCCAAGUGCGGACGGGAUAAGCGCUGAAAGCAUCUAAGCGUGAAGCCCCCCUCAAGAUGAGAUUUCCCAAUUAGUAAGACCCCUGGAAGACGACCAGGUUGAUAGGUUCGAGGUGGAAGCGCAGCAAUGCGUGGAGCUGACGAAUACUAAUCGGUCGAGGGCUUAUCCUAG